Molecule: long non-coding RNA, 536 nt
Organism: Oncorhynchus tshawytscha (Chinook salmon)
Lineage: Eukaryota; Metazoa; Chordata; Actinopteri; Salmoniformes; Salmonidae
Source: Ensembl
ACAUGAGGUCUCCAUUGGAUCUUUGCAUUCCACCGCCAGCUGUCUGUUUUUUGUUAUGAGUUGCCAAUGUUGCGGCCACACCCACCCUGCAUCCUGCCUGCCUCACACAAAAGGGGAUGGCCAAGCAACACCCCAGCCCUCUCUCCCCUCCCCAGGAUCAGUGCAUUCCAGCCCAGCCACGUACCAACCAGUCCGCUCUUUAUCACGACACUCAUGGUGGUAGUAGUUGUGAAGUUCGGUGGGUGUGGCUUCACCUAUUCCAGAUAAGACUCACAGUCAAGGACCUGUGUUUACAUCUAAUGAAAGACGUCCAGGGGAAUAAGAUAAUAAACACUGGGGCUGGAGUCUGGGCUCCUUGAAGAGUUGAUUGUCCAGGCCAGGAAAGAGAAGAACUAAACACACAGAGCAACAGUAAACCACAGGAGGAUUCAGGAGCCUGCUCUCAAUGAGUGUAGACAGUCUGCUGCCACUGCUCUGCUAAUCAUCAGAUGGGGGAGGAGAGGAGAGAAUUUGGCAGUACGUCCAACCGGCCUCAC